Molecule: ribosomal RNA, 891 nt
Filed under: Bacillus tequilensis
Lineage: Bacteria; Bacillati; Bacillota; Bacilli; Caryophanales; Bacillaceae
Description: bacterial SSU rRNA
Rfam family: Bacterial small subunit ribosomal RNA
Source: RNAcentral
GCAGUCGAGCGGACAGAUGGGAGCUUGCUCCCUGAUGUUAGCGGCGGACGGGUGAGUAACACGUGGGUAACCUGCCUGUAAGACUGGGAUAACUCCGGGAAACCGGGGCUAAUACCGGAUGGUUGUUUGAACCGCAUGGUUCAAACAUAAAAGGUGGCUUCGGCUACCACUUACAGAUGGACCCGCGGCGCAUUAGCUAGUUGGUGAGGUAACGGCUCACCAAGGCAACGAUGCGUAGCCGACCUGAGAGGGUGAUCGGCCACACUGGGACUGAGACACGGCCCAGACUCCUACGGGAGGCAGCAGUAGGGAAUCUUCCGCAAUGGACGAAAGUCUGACGGAGCAACGCCGCGUGAGUGAUGAAGGUUUUCGGAUCGUAAAGCUCUGUUGUUAGGGAAGAACAAGUACCGUUCGAAUAGGGCGGUACCUUGACGGUACCUAACCAGAAAGCCACGGCUAACUACGUGCCAGCAGCCGCGGUAAUACGUAGGUGGCAAGCGUUGUCCGGAAUUAUUGGGCGUAAAGGGCUCGCAGGCGGUUUCUUAAGUCUGAUGUGAAAGCCCCCGGCUCAACCGGGGAGGGUCAUUGGAAACUGGGGAACUUGAGUGCAGAAGAGGAGAGUGGAAUUCCACGUGUAGCGGUGAAAUGCGUAGAGAUGUGGAGGAACACCAGUGGCGAAGGCGACUCUCUGGUCUGUAACUGACGCUGAGGAGCGAAAGCGUGGGGAGCGAACAGGAUUAGAUACCCUGGUAGUCCACGCCGUAAACGAUGAGUGCUAAGUGUUGAGGGGUUUCCGCCCCCUUAGUGCUGCAGCUAACGCAUUUAGCACUCCGCUGGGGAGUACGUCGCAGGACUGAACUCAAGGAUUGACGGGGGCCCGCACAGCGUUGA